AAAGAGACUUCAGGAAGACCACUAUGGAGGAGUUGAAAAUAAAGUCAAGCCAAAUGAGGGUCCGUGCCGGAGGACGUACUGUGGCCGGGGUCGGGAGUGUGUGGUCAGGAAUGUGACGGGCCGGGUCGAGUGUGUGUGCCAGGAAAGGUGCCACACUUCGUUUGUUCCCGUGUGUGGCUCCGAUGGACGUUUUUAUGAGAACCACUGCGAGCUGUACCGCACCGCUUGCCUGCAGCGCAGGAGGAUCUACGUGGUCCACAGCAAAGACUGCUUCUUCAG
Long non-coding RNA from Rhinichthys klamathensis goyatoka, 279 nucleotides. RefSeq lists it as uncharacterized. Lineage: Eukaryota; Metazoa; Chordata; Actinopteri; Cypriniformes; Leuciscidae. The record is from RefSeq and is a predicted model, not a curated record. The transcript is spliced from 3 exons.